This is a long non-coding RNA of Pantherophis guttatus, 949 nucleotides long. RefSeq lists it as uncharacterized. The record is from RefSeq and is a predicted model, not a curated record. Lineage: Eukaryota; Metazoa; Chordata; Lepidosauria; Squamata; Colubridae.
UCGCGUCGGCGGAGCAGCGUGAGGGAUGCUUUCCGCAGACUCCCGCCAACCAGGAAACCCUGAGAUCCUAAAGGGCUAAAGAGAGCCUCAACAUCUUUUUUAUAUUGCAGUGACCAAAACUGGAUACAGUAUUCCAAUCAUAGUCUUAUCAAGGUCCGUGUACUGGAUAUUGGAGCAUGGGGUCUCAGAUUUGGGAAGCAGACCUGGGUUGUAUACAUCCAGAUGAGCAUGAAUUUAGAUGGCAGUAAAACUGACAGCCAAUUCCCAUCAUCCUCAGGCCGGAAGGAGGAUUGUGACAGAUUCGCAUGUCUAGUAUGAGGAUGUGAUUUGGAGUCCAUCACAUCUUGGAAGUCUGUAAUGUAUUCAGUGUGAGUGAAGGAUAACGUGGACAGUGCUGUAACAGUUUCUGAAAGAAGAACUAGAAGAGCCUGUGCAAGAACAGAGUGUGCUCUCAUGGUUUGGGGAGGCAGCAGAGGCCAUGGAAGAGCAUUCUCUGAAGCUGUUUGAAGAACCAAGGCCUUGUGCAACUUGGAGCCAUCUCAAGUAGGUCGCAGGGACCUGUCAGAAAGAGGACACCACCUGAAGCAGACAGCCCAUCACUACUGUCUAGCAACAAGAAAGUUACAAGAAAUUUACAAGUUAAAAGGACACCUUAGAAGGAUGCCAGCUACAAGGCACGUAGAUAUAUAACCUUUGAUAACCUCAUUAUAAUAGUAAAUCAUGUUUUGAUAAGAAAGCUUAUUAUUAUUAACAUGCAAUGUGUGAAGAAGGAGGGUAAAGCCGAAGAAACCAACCAAAAGAAACGUGUCAAGGAACCAAUGACUUAUUCUUAGGGUGUUAACUUGCUUAUCAUAGCUGUAUAAAGUUUAUAUUUGUACAUUGUUUUGGGUCUUGGCUCCUUUAGCUGCUAAGACCUUUUUGCUGGAGUAUUGCAAUAAAAGAAGCUGAA